Molecule: signal recognition particle RNA, 301 nt
Filed under: Cebus imitator (Panamanian white-faced capuchin)
Lineage: Eukaryota; Metazoa; Chordata; Mammalia; Primates; Cebidae
Description: Metazoan signal recognition particle RNA (ENSCCAG00000005041.1)
Rfam family: Metazoan signal recognition particle RNA
About the family: The signal recognition particle (SRP) is a universally conserved ribonucleoprotein.
Source: RNAcentral
GCCGGGCGCGGUGGUGAGUGCCUGUAGUUCCAGCUACUCAGGAGGCUGACGCUGGAGGAUCUCUUGAGACCAGGAGUUCUGGGCUGUAGUGCACUAUGCCGAUCAGGUGUCCACACUAAGUUCGGCAUUAAUAUGGUAACCUCCCAGGAGCGGGGGGGACAACCAGGUUGCCUAAGGAGGGGUGAACUGGCCCAGGUCGGAAACAGAGCAGGUCAAAACUCCCGUUCGGAUCAGUAGUGGGAUCGCGACUGUGAAUAGCCACUGCACUCCAGCCUGGGCAACAUAGCGAGACUCUGUCUCU